Non-coding RNA from Ornithorhynchus anatinus (platypus), 138 nucleotides. NCBI's taxonomy places the organism in Eukaryota, Metazoa, Chordata, Mammalia, Monotremata, Ornithorhynchidae. The record is from Rfam.
CCCCUCUCGGGGUCGCACCUGGAGAGUUUCCAGUCCUCUACCAGCCUCGACUACAAGAGGGUGAGUCAAGCAGAGGCCUACCCAUUCCGUUCCUAGCUUGGCCAGUGGAUAGCGAGUGGAAGGCCACCUGCUACAAGU